RNAcentral lists this ribosomal RNA (253 nucleotides) under uncultured bacterium. RNAcentral's name for it is "partial 16S ribosomal RNA". It matches the Rfam family "Bacterial small subunit ribosomal RNA", at positions 524 to 776 of the family's 1533-position model. The record is from RNAcentral.
UACAGAGGGCGCGAGCGUUGUCCGGAAUCACUGGGCGUAAAGGGCGCGUAGGCGGCGCGGUAAGUCACUUGUGAAAUCUCUGAGCUUAACUCAGAACGGCCAAGUGAUACUGCAGUGCUAGAGUGUGGAAGGGGCAAUCGGAAUUCUUGGUGUAGCGGUGAAAUGCGUAGAUAUCAAGAGGAACACCUGAGGUGAAGACGGGUUGCUGGGCCAACACUGACGCUGAGGCGCGAAAGCCAGGGGAGCGAACGGG